UACGGAGGGUGCAAGCGUUGCUCGGAAUCACUGGGCGUAAAGCGCACGUAGGCGGAUUGUUAAGUCAGGGGUGAAAUCCUGGAGCUCAACUCCAGAACUGCCUUUGAUACUGGCGAUCUUGAGUCCGGGAGAGGUGAGUGGAACUGCGAGUGUAGAGGUGAAAUUCGUAGAUAUUCGCAAGAACACCAGUGGCGAAGGCGGCUCACUGGCCCGGUACUGACGCUGAGGUGCGAAAGCGUGGGGAGCAAACAGG
RNAcentral lists this ribosomal RNA (253 nucleotides) under uncultured bacterium. RNAcentral describes it as "partial 16S ribosomal RNA". It matches the Rfam family "Bacterial small subunit ribosomal RNA", at positions 524 to 776 of the family's 1533-position model. The record is from RNAcentral.